UACAUCUGCUAUCGUCUGGAGUUCCUGC
This 28-nucleotide non-coding RNA is filed under the name Bombyx mori (domestic silkworm). Lineage: Eukaryota; Metazoa; Arthropoda; Insecta; Lepidoptera; Bombycidae. The record is from RNAcentral.